Molecule: ribosomal RNA, 436 nt
Filed under: uncultured bacterium
Lineage: Bacteria
Description: partial 16S ribosomal RNA
Rfam family: Bacterial small subunit ribosomal RNA
Source: RNAcentral
AACGAACGCUGGCGGCAUGCCUAACACAUGCAAGUCGAACGAUGGUCUUCGGAUCAUAGUGGCGCACGGGUGCGUAACGCGUGGGAAUCUGCCCUUGGGUUCGGAAUAACAGUUGGAAACGACUGCUAAUACCGGAUGAUGUCGAUAAGACCAAAGAUUUAUCGCCCGAGGAUGAGCCCGCGUCGGAUUAGCUAGUUGGUGGGGUAAAGGCCUACCAAGGCGACGAUCCGUAGCUGGUCUGAGAGGAUGAUCAGCCACACUGGGACUGAGACACGGCCCAGACUCCUACGGGAGGGGGCAGUGGGGGAUAUUGGAAAAUGGGCGCAAGCCUGAUCCAGCAAUGCCGCGUGAGUGAUGAAGGCCUUAGGGUUGUAAUGCGCUUUUACCCGGGAAGAUCAUGACUGUACCGAGAGAAUAAGCCCCGGCUAACUACGUG